GCAAAUCUCACCCUUGUUCAACCAUGUCUUGCUGAGCAGGCACAUGGGGGCUGAAACCUAAUCAGGCUGAGAGAAAAGGGUGACGUUUGCUAAUUUUCUAAUGUACCUACAUAACUCCUGCAUAAUCUGACAUCAUAUGAAUAUAUCACACUUAAGGCAUUUUCUCAUUGACUUCUACGUGGUUUCUACUUUUCAUUGCUAUAACAAAUAUCCUAAUACAUUUCUCCUGCACUUGUGGGUUCUUUUGAAUUAGAUACCUGAAAUUUUGACUUGAUUUUUUUUUUCUUACAGAAAUUCUGUCAAUGGGACAUGCAUAUAAACUAGAAGAUUUGGUGCCCAGCAUGAAGAAGAGUUCCUUUCAAGUACCUGUAUGUCCCGAAUGUAUUCCUUCCAGUGGGUUCUUGGUCUCGCUGACUUCAAGAAUAAAGCCUUGGACCCUUGUGGUGAGUGUUACAGUUCUUAAAGAUGGUGUAUCUGGGGUUUGUUCCUUCAGAUGUUCAGAUGUGUCCAGAGUUUCUCCAUUCCAGCGGGUUCGUGGUCUCCCUGACUUCAGGAGUGAAAUCGCAGACCUUUGCAGUGAGUGUUAUAGCUCUUAA
Molecule: long non-coding RNA, 596 nt
Filed under: Pan paniscus (pygmy chimpanzee)
Lineage: Eukaryota; Metazoa; Chordata; Mammalia; Primates; Hominidae
Description: lncRNA (ENSPPAG00000045517.1)
Source: RNAcentral